AAUUAUGUAAUCGAAGCUCGAUGAGUCUGCUUUCAUGAGGAGGUAACGAAAAGAUCAUAUGGGCAGUAUAUUAAGAGAUAAUCAGAUUUUAGUGGGACAGGGCCAGAACGGUUUCUGGAUUCCCUGCUCCGACUUUGGAAAUUCAUUAUAAAUUAACCAGAGAUAAUUAGGGGUCGUACCAUAUAUGUACAGAUUCCUCUCUGAGUCUAGUUUUCAUAGAAACAAACGGAAACAGUAUUGAAGCCCCGUGAAGGGAGAUAUCCAAGUCGUAAUGGGCAAAGGUCAGUGUAGUCGACCCCUGCAACUUGGGGGACUUUGACUAAUAAACUGUACUAAUUGGCCCAACCAAAAAUUCUAUAAAAAAAUACAUAGAUGGGCACAUGAGUCUAGUUUCUGGGAAAAAUUACGAAACUGAUUUUUGAGUUACGAAACUCAAGAUAUGAUUUUUAAAACGACUAGUACACAGAUUGGGCAGUGUCUGGAAAAUAAAUUUUGUAAGAGGUUAAAGCCAGUUAACACCUCGUGUUCGACUCCGGUGUCGGUUUCGGGUUCGGGGUGUUACAUUCUUCUUCCUUCAUCUUCAAAUUUUCAAAGGCCCUUCUCAAAUUCAAGAGUUGUUGCUGUCUCAUUCUUUUAGUCCCUUAAAACUCCUCCUUGAGCUUAUCCCAGGCCUGUUUUUGAGACUCACAAGCCAUGAUUCUUGUGAAGGUCAAGUCUGACACACUGUUUUGGAUGCAUGACAUUGCUUUGUAUCUCUUGGAUCUAUCAUCAGAAUGCUGCCUGAUCUGAGCCACAGUGGUGUUGGCUCUCAAAGGUGGUGGUUCAACUUCCGAGUUGACAACCUCUCACAAAUCAAAUGCCUACAGGUAGGUCUUUAUUUUCACUACCCAAAUGUAGUAGCCUUCACCAUUGAACACAGGUGGUGGAGCUGGAGAGAAACUGGAUGAAGACAUGGUUUUGAGGAUUGAAAAAAAAUGACAGGAUGAUAAAUUUGAACUAAGAAAAUAGAAUGAUAAAUUUGACAGAAACUUGAGCUAGAAGGUUUGAUGUCUUGCUGAGGAAAACAUUCAAGAUUAGCUUAAGAACUUGAGUAAAAAAAAAAACCAGAGAAUGAAGAAGAAUUUUUGAAAGAUUUCAUUACGAAUGAAUUGAGGCAUAAAGCCAUUACAUAUAUCAGUCAAUAAGCUAGUCAAAAUAAACAAAUGUCACCUAAACAUUUACCUAACACCACUAAGUAACCUAGUAAAUUGAUAAACAUAACUUGCACACAUAGUAAAGCUGACUUAUCAAUCCAUCAUUACCUAAUUACAUCAAAUAUGUUACCAACUUAGUUCAAAUCUAACUAACUAACAAAGUAUUUCCUUGAAGAACAAAAUCAGCAACAUAGGCUCUAGUUGCAACAUGCAUGGCUCAGGCUACAUGGUCUGCUCCUUGUGCUACUCCCAUGUAACAGUGUGAAACUUUUGAUGAAGAUGUCGUUGGAUUGACAAAUCUGUUGGAUAAAGUAUUUAGAGGCAAGGUGUGGGGAUUUACAUAGUGGAAAAGAGGAUGGGGAUGGGCUCCCACAACAUCACCAAGCACAUGUGCUUCAGUUGGUUAAUACCAAACAUGAAGUGACGAGACAUGCUUUUGGAAUGACCCAUACAAUGCAAGAUUUGGAAAGAGCGUUGGCUAAUCAAUUUAGUGUGUAUAUAUAAGUCUGCAUGCAC
RNAcentral lists this long non-coding RNA (1709 nucleotides) under Gossypium barbadense (sea-island cotton). Its description in RNAcentral is "long non-coding RNA (GBAR_LNC002338)". Lineage: Eukaryota; Viridiplantae; Streptophyta; Magnoliopsida; Malvales; Malvaceae. The record is from RNAcentral.